ACCAGACUCCUACGGGAGGCAGCAGUGGGGGAUAUUGCACAAUGGGGGGAACCCUGAUGCAGCGACGCCGCGUGGGUGAAGAAGCGCCUCGGCGCGUAAAGCCCUGUCAGCAGGGAAGAAAAUGACGGUACCUGAAGAAGAAGCCCCGGCUAACUACGUGCCAGCAGCCGCGGUAAUACGUAGGGGGCAAGCGUUAUCCGGAUUUACUGGGUGUAAAGGGGGCGCAGACGGCGAUGCAAGCCAGGAGUGAAAGCCCGGGGCCCAACCCCGGGACUGCUCUUGGAACUGCGUGGCUGGAGUGCAGGAGGGGCAGGCGGAAUUCCUGGUGUAGCGGUGAAAUGCGUAGAUAUAAGGAGGAACACCGGUGGCGAAGGCGGCCUGCUGGACGGCAACUGACGUUGAGGCCCGAAAGCGUGGGGAGCAAACAGGAUUAGAUACCCCAGUAGAG
RNAcentral lists this ribosomal RNA (448 nucleotides) under uncultured bacterium. RNAcentral describes it as "bacterial SSU rRNA". It matches the Rfam family "Bacterial small subunit ribosomal RNA", at positions 330 to 793 of the family's 1533-position model. The record is from RNAcentral.